Molecule: long non-coding RNA, 298 nt
Organism: Dipodomys spectabilis (banner-tailed kangaroo rat)
Lineage: Eukaryota; Metazoa; Chordata; Mammalia; Rodentia; Heteromyidae
Exons: 3
Source: RefSeq, a predicted model, not a curated record
CUAUUUUUCAUCAAAGCCAUAAGGACAACUUACCUAGGAUCCCAAUGACUUCCCUGCCACAUCUGACCCAUAAAGCCAGGGGCCACUCAGAAUGUGGAUUCAGUGUUGAGAAAUAAUAAGCACUGGUAAAAAAAGAUCAAACGGGCCAUAGAGGAACUGUGCUUUCAGCAGAGAUCUAUCUGCGUGUCUGCUAUAUUAAAAUGCACACACAGUAGAGGGUCCAAAUGUCACCUACUGUUUCUUCAAGAAAGUCAUGAAUGAGUUUGGAGGUUAACAGGUGAAGAAAUUGAAGAACAGA